GUCGGCACCCUCCUCUCUCUCGCAGCCUCACUGGGGUGCUGCUCGCCUGCAGCCUUCUUGGUAUCUCCUGAUAACCCCUCAAUGUCCUUCUCUUUUGCCCUUCCAUCAGUCUUCAUCCGGCAGUUCAAUUCUGCAGUGCACACCAAGAUAUUCAAAUAACUCACCAGCUGAGCUACCGUGCCCAGUGUUUGAUCAUUUGUUAUUGAAGCUGUACCUGUGGGACUGGCAUCCGGCAUCACUUGGAACUGGCUGUGAGAAUCUGCACCUGAAACUAGGCCUGAUUCAAGAGGAGUCUCACACAGUCCAGCCUGUGCUUCAGAUUGUGAAGACUUUUACUCACCAUAGCCUGCUGAGGACCGUUCCUACGCUCUUCCUUUGGUGUGCAUGGGUUGGCCCGUCGGCGUUUGUCUAAGCAACUGAGCAGCUGAAAGCCCAAUGCGGAUGUUCAAUGUGCUUUCGACAAUGAGCUGUGGAGGUACGAUCAGGGUGGCCGGUGCUGAUAGCAGUAAGGUGUUGUCAAGACUGUUUGUGAUCCGUGGCCAGGCCGCCCACAGACCUGACACCCUUAGAGCUUCAGAAGGUCUUUGCCUGAGGCUGUUGAUGGAGUAUCAGCAAGAAAGAAACAGACCAAAAGACUGCAAGGGUUACUUGAUGGACAGAAGAGAACAGUUAAGGAUACGUUGCUGCAGGGAACAGAGCUACCUCAGCAGGUCCACCUUGCAAACCAUUCCCUGCAGAAAGCAAAAGAGCCCCCCAUUGGUACCUGUGGACAUCAGUGGUGGUGAUUUCAGAUCCAGAGAGUAUAAAUCCAGACCACGACUUUGUUUCGACCAACCAGUUGUGUACUCUGUGACUGUAACUCUUUAUAUUCAACUGGUUGGUUGAAAGAGCCUGUAAAUCAAGCGGGGGUGGGAAGGGAAAGUGCUACACCGACGUCACGGUAGCAAAAAAAAGUGUCGAUACAAAAACUACACCAACCAGCGCACAACAUGUGGGCAGCCCAAAACUGUCCAGCG
Molecule: long non-coding RNA, 1016 nt
Organism: Brienomyrus brachyistius
Lineage: Eukaryota; Metazoa; Chordata; Actinopteri; Osteoglossiformes; Mormyridae
Exons: 5
Source: RefSeq, a predicted model, not a curated record